This is an RNA transcript of Oncorhynchus keta (chum salmon), 1378 nucleotides long. RefSeq lists it as uncharacterized. The record is from RefSeq and is a predicted model, not a curated record. Lineage: Eukaryota; Metazoa; Chordata; Actinopteri; Salmoniformes; Salmonidae. The transcript has 4 exons.
CACUGUCAGGUGUUGAACCACACGCAUCAACUUUUAUAUUUGUGUAACUAUGUCUUUCGAACAUGCCUUUCGUUCUCGUGUUGCCUUCAUUAUGGAAACCUUGACAGCAACAGCCGUGCAAGACAUUUGUCAAUUUAUGGAAGAAACGUAUGCUGCUCUUCGAGUGGAAAUGUUGCAAGAACAAAACCGAAGUUCGAGGACAAAAUUGCAGGCGAUGGAGAAUAGCAAGGGGAAAGAAAAGCCUGCGAACAGUAUGGAGAGCGUUCAAGAAGACUGUGAGAUGAAAUAUUUACAGAUAGUUAUGCCUAUUGACUAUUUGUCUGUAGGAAGCUAGGAGACAAAUAAUACACUAGCAGGCAAGCAAGCAGUCGCCUGAAUGUGCAGCCCCGGAGGGCACUGUUAUUACUGACUGAAUAUUAGUGCUCCCUGCUGGACCUUAUGGCUAUAGUCUGUAGGGGGCACCCUACUCCCUCAGUAGUGAAAAGGUUUCAGAAACUUCCCAGUCGUGGAGCAAAUCCUCAAUGAACAAGAGGCCAAUGGUCUUUGGCUAGAAGGUCACCUUACUGUGGAAGAUGCAGGUCCACUGUCACUGGCACCAGAGGAAGAACAGCCAUUGCAGAGUUUUGGUCAGAUGACAGACAAGGCUGAUAAGAGUUAAUAACACCAUUGGUUGUCUUGGAAGGGAGUGGAGACAUGUUCAGCACCGCUGGUCAUUAAACAGGAGGAAACGGAUGAUGUCAUGGAGUCUCAAGGUUACAGCGGGUGGAUGCCAGAGACUCAUAAGGCCAACCAGAAUAUCAUAGGAAAAAGUGAUGAGGAAGAGCGAAGUCAAGCCUCUAGGGCACAUAUGUCAGAGUCAAGGCCCGCGGGCCACAUCCGGCCCGCGAGAAGGUUUUUUACGGCCCCUGGGAUGAUCUUGAUUUAUUAUUAGAACCGCCCGCAGACCGCAGCAAGCCGGCAGCCCGCAGAUCUUUUACACGCACCAAUACUACAUUUCCCACAAUGCAACGGUGACGCACCGAGCAGUAGGCUGCUUCAUUUCAAUAUUUAUUGGCACAGCAGUUGUCAGCAUCACAGUAAAAUUAACUUUCAGAUACCCAUCAAAAAUGGCAAAACGGAAGGUGGACACUGAGAACCGGGGGUUUCAAACAAGGUGGGAGUCGGAGUAUUUGUUCACGGAGGUAAAUGGAAAACCUGUGUGUCUUCUGUGUGGAGAAAGUGUGGCGGUACUGAAAGAGUAUAAUCUGAGACGACAUUAUGAAACGAAACACGCGGACAAAAACAAGAAUAUGGACAUGGAACAAAGGCUACAAAAGGCAGAGGAAUUAAAACGAGGCCUCAAAUCUCGACAGGCUCUGUUCAAAAAGCCAAAUCACAA